This 3882-nucleotide long non-coding RNA is filed under the name Prunus persica (peach). Its description in RNAcentral is "long non-coding RNA (PPER_LNC008364)". Lineage: Eukaryota; Viridiplantae; Streptophyta; Magnoliopsida; Rosales; Rosaceae. The record is from RNAcentral.
GCGGGUCUCUCUCUCCUCUCCCUCGCGCGCGACAGCCGGCCACGUUUUGGCCGGCCGUGCUCUCCUCCGGCCACCAAUGGCGACGGGACCGGUACCAAAAUGACCGGGCCGUCGUCCUCUUCCUACCCCAGCCAUCCCCCGCCUCCAGCCGCCGUGGUUUCGCCGGAAUUUGGAGAAGAAGCGGCCGACGUCGCCGAAUUUUCAAAGCCGUCGAUCUCCCUCCUCCGGCCACCAAUUUCGUCGAUCCAGGUAUGGAUUUUGAACCUCUCAAGCUGCUCUAGCUGAUGGUUGGGUAGGAUUAGAUCGAUUCUUAGCGUAGAUCACUCGAUUUUCGAAUUGAAAAUCGGCCGAAACUUCGGCCGCCGUGAUCGGCCACUUCCGGCCAGUUUUUGGGGUAGGUCCAAGAACAAAAGUGACUCCAAAUGAGGUGUUUUACCUAGGAUAGGAGUUUGGAGUCUUGGUUCCGAGAUUUUUCGACGAACCAUAAUCGCUUUGGACACCCGAUCUGCCCGCGCGUGUGGCAGCGCGUGGGCGAGGGUGGUGGAGUGACUCUGGGCCGUUUUGAGAUCCUCGUGCCGUCACGAGCGCGUAGGAUUUCGCGGAUCUCAAUUCGGACGUCGUUUGACUAUCGAACGGAGAAUCGCAUAUCGCGCGUUAUCCGGGUUCGAUAGGUUGGGACCGUUGGAUGGACCCAAAUUUAAUAUAUGUUAAUCUAGGUAAUUUUAGGAUCGUGUAGGAAUUCACGGAUUGUGAAUCGGAGCCCCGGAUGUUCCGAUUUAAUAAUUUAAAGUUCAUAUUUUAUAUUAACCGUCGGAUCGUGCGAUCGUGAGAAAUCCGACCGUCCGAUCUGAACCAAACUUGCAGGACAAGUGUACUAUACCUGGUAGAACCCAUAGGGACUUCCGGAUCGGAAAUUGGAGGUCGUGGGUUCUGCAGGUCCGGUUGACCAGGGUUAGAAUAGUUUGACCCUCGGUUGACCGAGAGUCUCCCGGAGUAAUCUCACCCUUCCAGGGGGAAUUAUCGGGAGCUAGACUAUUGUGGAGGGUUACACAAUAUUAGAAUUAUUUAUAUAAAUUAUGUGGUUGUACAAGGGUACAACAAAGUCUAGAUUGUCAGUUUGGAGUGCUAUACGCACUACUUUAGGUACCUCCUCGGAUGUUGGAUCCACUACAAGUACCACCAAGUGAAAGUAGGUCCCGCGUGGCGUAGGUUAUCCGGCGUUGGGACAGACCCCAUACGUGGCGUUGGUUGUACCGGCGUAUGGGGAGCUAUGUAAUAUUAUGUUGAGGUCGCACGUGGCGUAGGUUAUCCGGCGUGUCGACAGACCCCAUACGUGGCGUUGGUUGUACCGGCGUAUGGGGAACUUUGUGAUAUAAUAUUGAGGUCCCACGUGGCGUAGGUUAUCCGGCGUUGGGACAGGCCUCAUACGUGGCGUUGGUUGUACCGGCGUAUGGGGAGUUAUGUGAUAUGAUGUGCAGGUCGCACGUGGCGUAGGUUAUCCGGCGUGUCGACAGACCCCAUACGUGGCGUUGGUUGUACCGGCGUAUGGGGAACUUUGUGAUAUAAUAUUGAGGUCCCACGUGGCGUAGGUUAUCCGGCGUUGGGACAGGCCUCAUACGUGGCGUUGGUUGUACCGGCGUAUGGGGAGUUAUGUGAUAUGAUGUGCAGGUCGCACGUGGCGUAGGUUAUCCGGCGUGUCGACAGACCCCAUACGUGGCGUUGGUUGUACCGGCGUAUGGGGAACUUUGUGAUAUAAUAUUGAGGUCCCACGUGGCGUAGGUUAUCCGGCGUUGGGACAGGCCUCAUACGUGGCGUUGGUUGUACCGGCGUAUGGGGAGUUAUGUGAUAUGAUGUGCAGGUCUCACGUGACGUAGGUUAUCCGGCGUUGAGACAGACCCCAUACGUGGCGUUGGUUGUACCGGCGUAUGGGGAGAUUAUAUGAAAUGAAAUAAGGUAUCGCCCAAGUGGGGAAUUGAGUUUUAGGGAAGAACUACGUGUGGCUUGAUCCCUCAAGGAGGGUACGUAGGCAGCCUAAGGUUAGGUGCAGCCGCAGACUAAAUGUUAGUCAUAUUUGGUAUUUGAAUGGUUUGGUAGUUGGAUAGGAAUUAUUGAAAGGCCGAAGGCCAUUUGUGUGAAUUGCAUGAAAUUAUAUUGUGCAUGCUGCCAGUUGGGAAUAUUAAAUGUGUUUUUAUGCAGGUUGAAAUUUUGGGAUAUGUCCAAUUUAUAGGGGAGACUCUGCCGAAAUUUCGGCAGGAAGUCUCAGUUUUUAGUAAGCGGGCCUGACAUCGGGGUGAUGUCAGGAAUUCCAAAGGGUUCGUCUCGGGUUUUUGAGAAAAUUCGGGGCGGGUCCUUAAACUACGAGUGGCUUGAUUCCCACAAGGGAUACGUAGGCAUCCUGAGGUUGGACUUGGGAGCAGCUGCAAAAUCAAACACACACGUUCUGUUUCUUUAUGAUGGAAUCAAAGGGUUUUCCCUUGAAGCAAGGGAUUGUAAUUAAGAGACUUACGUCUCGAAUGGGUCGAACCUAAAAUAAUAAAACCCCAUUAUUUAAUUAGUGGUGGUGAAAUUAUAUUAGGAAGAUCACAAUUUUCCUUCAACAUAGCUCAUCCCCACAUUUAAAUUAAAGCCCACUGUAUUUUCUUCAAUAAUUUGUUUAUCAUUGUUUUUAUUACUUUUAUGCGAUUCUUGUACUAACCAUAUUCUUCCAUAAUUUAUUUCUCAUUGUUCCAAUCGUUGAUAUUACAAUUUACAAUUAAUAAACUAAAGUACAUUUUUAAAAUGAAGUUUUCGAAAGAAGUACCAAAUUUGAAUCUUCCCCUUUUACUCAUCACAAGAAAAAAAAAUAUCCCUAAAAUGUUAGAAAUUAUAAGCCUUUAUAUUUUCUCUCAAAAUAGCAGCAAGUUAAAUUUAGAGGGGCAAACGUGCCUGAUAUAAGUAUUUUAACAACCCUCUAUAGGUAUGGCUACAUAAAACAAGGUAACGAGAUUAUCUUUGUUCUUUUACCAGAGGGGCAGACGUGCAUGAUAUGUAUGUAGUCUUUCAAGGAACAUUCUGGCUUUGAAGUUAUCUCCUAUUCUUAGCUAGGCAGCCCAAAUCUCUAGGCAUAUGCACAUCGCAUCAUGGGGAUCAUUGUAUUUUGCUUUAGCAAAUCUAGUUGUUUCACCCCAAAAAAAAAUAUCCAGUUGUUUCCAGGUUGAUUUCAAUUCAACGUUAAAGGUAAGAGGAAAAAAAAAAUUCUUGAAAAUAGUUGUAGGUUUUUUUAUUUUAUUUUUAUAAAUAUAAAACACCAAACUCAGUGAUAAAACUAAACUAAAAAUAAAAAGAAUAAAAUUUAAACACUCUGAAUGAGAUGAGAUUAGCAGGGCAUUUGAGAAGUGAACCACUCCAUGACAUGAAUUUGGGCUUUGACCAACUCCACGACCACCGUCACGCACAAACAGCACGGGCAUAUGCAAGUCAGCAACAAUCUGACGAUCCAGAUAACGAGGCCGACGAUGGAGAGGACGAGGGAGAGGAGAGCAAAAGGAAGGCCGAGCAGAAAGCCCAGAGGCCUGCAAUCACCUUCUGAAGAGCAAAUUUUCUCUCACUUUCUUUCUUCUUCUUAUUUUCUGGGAUUUUGGUUCUUCAGCAGCAACUGCUUGAGAGAGAAGAGAAUGGAGAGAGACUUGUUUAGUAAUGGGAGACGGCACACGCUGUGUAUUGUAUUGUUGGAAAUUUCUUGUGCUUUUCUGGAAAUAGUUAUAGUUACUUGGACUAGGGAUUCCAUUCCAUGACUUUGACUCUAUUAAGACAAUUUCAUUGUCUGGGAUAAAUAUUAUUCAUCACUUGAGAUUCAGAGAAAAAUAUUCUUGAUCAUUUGAGAUUAAGAAAUAAAUAUUUUUG